Long non-coding RNA from Cygnus olor (mute swan), 4143 nucleotides. RefSeq lists it as uncharacterized. The transcript has 3 exons. The record is from RefSeq and is a predicted model, not a curated record. NCBI's taxonomy places the organism in Eukaryota, Metazoa, Chordata, Aves, Anseriformes, Anatidae.
AGCACUUGUACCUUUUACAAGGUUAAAAUUUCUUAGCAACAUUUGAAGUUUUCUCUUGGGAUCAAUGGAAUAUUCACCUGCAUUUGGAGCUGCUGCUGUUAUUUAUCAUUGUCUAUUGUCAAGGCAACAGAAUAUCUACUGCAUCUGCACCCGCUGAUCUGCCUCACUAUGUGAUUUCAGCUUUUUCUCCACUCUCCAACCAGCUCUUUACCUUGAGAACAUCUUCAUAAUAGCAAGGAGACUGAAAAAUGAAUUUGCCAGGGUAUCCUGGAGCUGUGGCAGAGGACUGGAGGACUGAGCUCCCUAAAAUUUGCCAGUUUGUGCCCAUUGCCUCUUGUUCUGUUACUGGGCACCACCAAGGAGAGGCUGCCUCUAACCUCCGUACAGCCUCCCAUCAGGUAUUUAUACACUUUGGUCAAAGAUCCUUUCAGAGCCUCCUCCUUUUGCAUUAUCUGUAUCUUUCCAUCCUGGCUUAUCACCUUAGGCCACCACAUUCUUCUGGCCUGCCUUUGUUUCCUUUUAACUUUUAGCAUGGUGCCUGUUGACAAGACUACAGUAAUUUAUCUUGCUCCCAACAAAGUCCUGAUUAUUGCUUAACUGUCUAAGACAGACUUAUUUAUCUUUGAAGUGUCGAGAUACUGCAUUCAUUUUCUGGGAAGUAUAUAUCUGGCGUGGUUUCAGUUAGGAUGAGUGAUAAUAUAAUACAGCCAUUACCUAUGAGAACAUAAAACUCUGACAGCAACCUGAAACAACACAGCAAACCCACUAACUAAACACACAAAGGUAAAAUUCUCAAAAACAGAAAACUACUUAUAAAAACAUAAAAAAAAGACAGGCAAAAGCUUUUAGGAGGAUGUUUUGAAAAGUGAUGGGUAACAUGCAUUGUCGUUAUUUAAAAAGCAUUAACUACAUAGUGAUAUACAUCUCCCUCAGUGAGAAUUGUGAGCCUUUGUAGCAGCACUGCACAGCAGAAAACCUCAGAAAAAUAGGAGCCUUGGAGCUUGAGAAGCAGGCACCUGUCACUUCCUUUUAGAAAAGGUGCAGAACCUGUGGUAGUCUGGCAUCUCUGGUUCUCCCCACUAGAGGUCAUGGAAACAAUUGCACAUUAAGUAGAGUGUGUGCAAUCAAGUGAGCUACAUUUCCAUGACAAAGAAAUCCUCUAAUGCAACCUAGAUGUAACUGUUUUCUGAGAUUAAUAUUACUGUUAUGCAGCUUCCUGUAGCUACACAGCAGGUACUGUAUGUAUCUGGAUGCAAAAGUUCUUAGCAAUGCAUAGUUUUAGCACCUCCUAGUGAUCCAUAGCGUUGGAGGUGAAGGUAACUGAACUAAUUAGACAUCUAAGUAGAGGGGAACCCAAACCUGAAUCCAGGACAACCAGUGAAGCAGACAUUUCAGAAACUGUCUGUUGCUGAAACGAAAUAAGAUCCGUUGAUAUUAACGGAGGGAGCUAGGUAGUAACUCCCAACUAUAACAUUAAACUUCUCCUUCUUCCAGCCUGCAGCUCUAAUUAAACGUUCAGAUAGAAUCACUGAUCUGAUUGACUGCCACCAGUGAUGAACCAGAGAAUACAGAUUUGUGCUAAUUGCUCUGCACCCUUUUCCUCAGUAACUGGGCUGGAAAACUGCAAGUAAUCAUGAUGUGACUGGUUCCUGCAGUCAGCAUUUCCAAGUUCUCUGCGGUUCCCUUCAGCUUCAAAUUUCAUACAAGGAUGAAAAGGUAUUAUGGGAAGCCUCUGCCAGCAUAAACAAAUACUUCACCUUUGUUCAUUAUAGGGUAGUCAGAGCCACCCUUUUCAUUCACUUUUGAAAUGCUUAAGUGAAAUCCUGGCUUUAGUUAGAACUGCAGGUAGGUACGAUAGGAGGAGUGCUUUGUUCUCCCCGGAAAGCUGUUAAGAGAAGGAGCACUAGGUAUCGAACAAAGCAGCUCAUAGGCCUAGUCAGGGGCUGGAAAGGAACAGUUGCAGUGGAAGUUCUUAAAGCCAGAGUUCUCAGCACUGAUCUGUGCUAGGGGAUAUAUUGGAAGGAACCUGGGGAAGAUGAGCAAAAACUAAACUGUAAGGGAUAAAGCGUAGUCAAAAGGGAACAUUGCUUCCAAGUCACAACCAAAGGAUCCAGUUCAGCCAUGAGUGUCAUGCCUGACUAGGCGAUGGAUUAAGCAGACCUGUGUAAUAUAUCUAAACAAGGAUAGGCUGGAGCAAAACAAAAAAAACUACCACACCAAACACCACCAACAAAAAAAACCUUUUGCUGGGUUCUGCUGAGUUACCUUGCAGCUAGGUAAGGUCCCCAGUCAAGCACAACACAGCCUACAACAGCUGUGUUAAUGUAGCUGAGAGGAGGGGCCAAUGGCAGACUGCCACAGUGUGGAUAAGCUAGCUUUGCUACUUUAGCAAUUUAUGUAGAAUUAGUGCCUGAGGAUGUUGAACACCAAAGAUACUCCUGAUUUUACAGCUGGGAUUUCAGACACUGAGGGAUCUCUCUCAGUCCCAAGCUAAAUUCUACUUAAGCUGUGUGGGGGUUGCUAGAGCUUGAAACUAGUGCUGGAGAAGUCAGAGUUGCCGGUACCUUGAUUGCUGAUGACCAGAUUCACAAUAAAUGCAAAAAAAGGGGCAUGACCGGGUUAUGAGAUAGCAGCCAGCAUGCUACAUCAUCUGGACCUGGGUUGGAAUAGCUUGAGGCUUACUCUGUUUUGAUGGCUUAGGGGGGUGUCUUAAAGGGGGGGGGGGGGACGACGACUUGGGAAGUAGGUGGAUUCUACGAAGCAAAGCCUUCCCAGAACAUCAAUCACUGACUAUCUGAAAGACGUAAAAGAAACAUGUAAACUUAACAGCCCCCUGGAAAACAAUUACAUUCAGGUCUCAUUAGAGGACCCCCUCAUUUGUCGCAGAAAAUGCAGCUACUUCCAGAAUGGAAAUGAAGAGCUCCUUCAUAGCAACGUUCCUUAGCAGGUACUGAGAUUCAGGAAUAGCUAUUGAGAGAAUAAUCCUCAUCUAUUUCUAAAGUUAUACUGAAAAAAGUGAAAGUUAGCUCCGAAAAAAAAAAAAAAGCUCAAAACGGAGUUUAGCUGGCACAUCUCUUGAAAAAAGUAUUAGGAGUUCAUUGACCGUAAACAGUUGGAUCCCUUCAUUUUAUACUCAUGUAAGUACCAGAACUAUCAAGUGCAAGUUUGUGUAUCCUAGAAGAGAAGCCAAAUUGCACUUAGCCAUGUAUGACAAGAUGAUUUAAAUGGUUAACCUUUUAAACAGUGCUUGUUUUUAUAGAUAACACAUCUUUACACCGUCAAACUGUUUCUUUUUUUUUUGUCAGUUUUUCAGAUGUGUGAAAUGGUUUGAAUCAGAUGAUGAAAAUCAGAAAGCACAGCUCUGCCAUACUGUUACGAAGUUUAGUUUUCUAUUUCAUUACAUAAACUAAUUGAUUUAUCAAAGGACAUUUAGACUCUUAGAUCCUUGUCUGCUCUAUUUGAAUGUUGCUUGAACCAGAUAAGCCUAAAAAUAUGAAGCAAGAACAUAAAUAGGAAGAUGGAAGGUUGUGUUUUUACCCUUGGAGAAUGCAUGACUAGGUGAUUAAAAAGGAAAAGGACUAAAACCAGAGGUUUAUAACCUGAACUGGAACAGCAAGAAAUGUCAGCUCCACAGCAGCAAUCACACAGUACAUUACUAUAUAAUUCCAGAGUUAGAAAUAGAAAACUAAAGAAUGUUACACUGUUAAAACGUAUUUGAAAAAUUCAUGAAACUUCUUUAGAACUAUCCAGUCUCUCUAAUGUACUUUAGGGCAGUUUUGUUCCCAAUUCUGUCUCUGCCAGUGCUUCAAUUGUAAAGUAAAAGGAAUGCUAGCUGUCUGACUGGGUUAACCUAGACAUGCUGUACAGCAUAGGUUCAGAGUUCUGCUGUUUACAUUGCAUUUCUGUCUUGCCUCAGCCUGCAGCACACAUGCUGUCUUCAAUGAGACUAGGACAGCUGUGUGGUGCUCUCCAGCUCUCAGGAGCCCAGGAGUCACAGUCACAUCAAGUAAAACAAACUAAGGAUGUGUACCCCCCUGGCUAAACUAAAUUUUGACCUUACACAAAGUAAAUGUUUGUAGAUUUGACUUUCACUUUAUUACUAUACCUAUUUUAAAUCUAGAACUGGUAGUUUUGAUGCAAAAG